RNAcentral lists this ribosomal RNA (301 nucleotides) under uncultured bacterium. RNAcentral's name for it is "partial 16S ribosomal RNA". It matches the Rfam family "Bacterial small subunit ribosomal RNA", at positions 509 to 807 of the family's 1533-position model. The record is from RNAcentral.
CAGUCGCCACGGGAAAACGGAGGAUCCAAGCGUUAUCCGGAUUUAUUGGGUUUAAAGGGUGCGUAGGUGGCCUGUUAAGUCAGGGGUGAAAGACGGUAGCUUAACUAUCGCAGUGCCCUUGAUACUGAUGGGCUUGAAUGAACUAGAGGUAGGCGGAAUGUGACAAGUAGCGGUGAAAUGCAUAGAUAUGUCACAGAACACCGAUUGCGAAGGCAGCUUACUAUGGUUUUAUUGACACUGAGGCACGAAAGCGUGGGGAUCAAACAGGAUUAGAUACCCCAGUAGUCCCUGUCUCUUAUAC